RNAcentral lists this small RNA (172 nucleotides) under Arabidopsis thaliana (thale cress). Its description in RNAcentral is "ATSL001150". The record is from RNAcentral. Lineage: Eukaryota; Viridiplantae; Streptophyta; Magnoliopsida; Brassicales; Brassicaceae.
UUAUAAUUAUCAAAAACAAGCAUUAAAAUCUAGUGGCAGCCAUCGUAAAUAAGUCUCAACUACAGGAUUUAUUUCACAAAAUGACUGCAAAAAUGUAUAUAUAGAUACUAUUUUGAAUAUAACUUAUUAUUACCAACAUGUAGUAACCAUUAUUUAAAAGCCACAAAAAAAA